GUCGUGGAGGUAAAGCACUGAUUGGGUGCGGGGCCCGCCAAGGGUUACCAAGUCCAGUCAAACUCUGAAUGCCACAGACGUUAUCCCGGGAGUCAGACAGUGAGUGCUAAGAUCCAUUGUCAAGAGGGAAACAGCCCAGAUCAUCAGCUAAGGUCCCCAAGUGUGUGUUAAGUGGGAAAGGAUGUGGAGUUGCACAGACAACCAGGAUGUUGGCUUAGAAGCAGCCACCAUUGAAAGAGUGCGUAAUAGCUCACUGGUCGAGUGACUCUGCGCCGAAAAUGUAACGGGGCUAAACACACCACCGAAGCUAUGACGAGCGCAAUUACUUGCGCUGGGGUAGGGGAGCGUUGUAUGCGGGUAGAAGCUGGAUCGUGAGGACUGGUGGACUGCAUACAAGUG
RNAcentral lists this ribosomal RNA (399 nucleotides) under Streptomyces globisporus. Its description in RNAcentral is "partial 23S ribosomal RNA". It matches the Rfam family "Bacterial large subunit ribosomal RNA", at positions 892 to 1290 of the family's 2925-position model. Lineage: Bacteria; Bacillati; Actinomycetota; Actinomycetes; Kitasatosporales; Streptomycetaceae. The record is from RNAcentral.